Molecule: ribosomal RNA, 660 nt
Filed under: uncultured bacterium
Lineage: Bacteria
Description: bacterial SSU rRNA
Rfam family: Bacterial small subunit ribosomal RNA
Source: RNAcentral
AGAGUUUGAUCCUGGCUCAGGACGAACGCUGGCGGUGUGCUUCACACAUGCAAGUCGAACGGAGUAGCAAUACUCAGUGGCGGACGGGUGAGUAACACGUGGGAAUCUACCAUUAGGUGGGGAAUAACAGGCCGAAAGGACUGCUAAUGCCGCAUAUGUAGGCAUCUCGACAGAGAUGUUUAUGAAAGGAGUAAUCCGCCUUUUGAUGAGCCCGCGUCCGAUUAGCUAGUUGGUAGGGUAAAAGCCUACCAAGGCGACGAUCGGUAGGUGGUCUGAGAGGAUGAUCACCCACAAUGGGACUGAGACACGGCCCAUACUCCUACGGGAGGCAGCAGUGGGGAAUUUUACGCAAUGGGGGAAACCCUGACGUAGCGACACCGCGUGAGCGAAGAAGCCCUUUGGGGUGUAAAGCUCUGUCAACAGGAACGAAACAAAUGACGGUACCUGUGGAGGAAGCAUCGGCUAACUACGUGCCAGCAGCCGCGGUAAGACGUAGGAUGCAAGCGUUGUCCGGAUUUAUUGGGCGUAAAGAGUUCGUAGGCGGUUUGUUAAGUCUGAUGUUAAAGACCGGGACUCAACCUCGGAAAUGCAUUGGAUACUGGCAGACUGGAGUGCAGUAGAGGCUAGUGGAAUUCCCAGUGUAGCGGUGAAAUGCGUAGA